GAUGAAGAACGUAGCGAAAUGCGAUAAGUAAUGUGAAUUGCAGAAUUCAGUGAAUCAUCGAAUCUUUGAACGCACAUUGCGCCCGCCAGUAUUCUGGCGGGCAUGCCUGUUCGAGCGUCAUUUCAACCAUCAAGCCCCAGGCUUGUGUUGGGGACCUGCGGCUGCCGCAGGCCCUGAAAACCAGUGGCGGGCUCGCUGUCACACCGGGCGUAGUAGAUUUUAUCUCGCUCAGGGCGUGCUGCGGGUCCCGGCCGUUAAAAGCCUUUUUUUACCCAAGGUUGACCUCGGAUCAGGCAGGAAGACCCGCUGAACUUAAGCAUAUCAAUAAGCGGAGGA
This 336-nucleotide unclassified non-coding RNA is filed under the name soil metagenome. RNAcentral's name for it is "partial contains 5.8S ribosomal RNA, internal transcribed spacer 2, and large subunit ribosomal RNA". The stretch from base 1 to 120 matches the Rfam family "5.8S ribosomal RNA", at positions 35 to 154 of the family's 154-position model. The record is from RNAcentral.